This 116-nucleotide non-coding RNA is filed under the name Arthrobacter sp. RNAcentral describes it as "TPP sequence". It matches the Rfam family "TPP riboswitch aptamer (THI element)". From Rfam's summary of the family: Vitamin B(1) in its active form thiamin pyrophosphate (TPP) is an essential coenzyme that is synthesised by coupling of pyrimidine and thiazole moieties in bacteria. The previously detected thiamin-regulatory element, thi box was extended, resulting in a new, highly conserved RNA secondary structure, the THI element, which is widely distributed in eubacteria and also occurs in some archaea. The record is from RNAcentral. Lineage: Bacteria; Bacillati; Actinomycetota; Actinomycetes; Micrococcales; Micrococcaceae. RNAcentral also lists the same sequence under 1 other name.
UGAAGACACCGCGGGAGCCCGCCGUCCAAGGGCUGAGAGGGUGUGUCUAACGAGCACACCGACCGUCAUACCUGAUCCGGAUCAUACCGGCGUAGGGAAGGAAAACACUGUGCCUG